Molecule: non-coding RNA, 100 nt
Organism: Chiloscyllium plagiosum (whitespotted bambooshark)
Lineage: Eukaryota; Metazoa; Chordata; Chondrichthyes; Orectolobiformes; Hemiscylliidae
Source: RefSeq, a predicted model, not a curated record
GACUCUGAAAAGUAGAGAUCUCGUCCCUAAAUACCUGCAAGGUUAAUAGUUCUCUUGCUGUACCCCUUUUCUGUAUGCUUUUUCUAUAUCUGAAAAAACA